This 504-nucleotide long non-coding RNA is filed under the name Anas platyrhynchos platyrhynchos (common mallard). RNAcentral's name for it is "lncRNA (ENSAPLG00000016958.1)". The record is from RNAcentral. Lineage: Eukaryota; Metazoa; Chordata; Aves; Anseriformes; Anatidae.
UAUCAAGCAAUCUAUUUAUAUAUGACAGGGAGGGUUUGAUUUCUGGAAGGAGUGACAACCCAAUGAAAUAACUGCUUGCCUUCAAAAUUACUGUAGUCUAAAUGUAUACACUUUAGAACACAAUUUUAAAUUACAAUUAACAAAAUGUAGAUAAAUAUGUGUGGGAAUCAAUACUGACACAGAAUUGAGAAAGAAGAAAUAAUAUGUAAAGAUACGAAGAGGUUUCUGAGUGUUGUCAGCACCCUGCCUCUGAAAAACUGAGUGAAGGAAGCAAAGGAUAUUUCUCUGAGAAUUCCAGGAAAGGUUUCUUCCUGGAAUGAUGGAAAUUUGUAUCUCUGAAUGCCAAACUGAUCAUGCACAGGGAGAGGAAAUGGCCUGAUCUACUGUGUUUCUACCAAGGGACUAAGAUAUUUUGUCAUGAAAACUCCAAGACUUCAACAGUUUACAUUUAAAGUAAGUAUUUUUUUCCUUUUAAGCUCUCAGCAUAUUAAACAGCCACCAAAA